CCUACGGGAGGCAGCAGUGAGGAAUAUUGGUCAAUGGACGCAAGUCUGAACCAGCCAUGCCGCGUGCAGGAAGACGGCUCUAUGAGUUGUAAACUGCUUUUGUACGAGGGUAAACGCAGAUACGCGUAUCUGUCUGAAAGUAUCGUACGAAUACGGAUCGGCUAACUCUGUGCCAGCAGCCGGGGUAAUACGGAGGAUUCAAGCGUUAACCGCAUUUACUGGGGUUAAAGGGUGCGUAGGCGGUAUGGCAAGUCAGAUGUGAAAUCCUAAGGCUUAACUAUAGAACUGCCUCUGAUACUGUUAGUCUAGAGUAUAGUAGCGGUAGGUGGAAUGUAUGGUGUAGGGGUGAAAUCCGUAGAGAUCA
RNAcentral lists this ribosomal RNA (364 nucleotides) under uncultured bacterium. RNAcentral describes it as "partial 16S ribosomal RNA". It matches the Rfam family "Bacterial small subunit ribosomal RNA", at positions 338 to 699 of the family's 1533-position model. The record is from RNAcentral.